GUACGGGAGGCAGCAGUAAGGAAUAUUGCGCAAUGGCCGAAAGGCUGACGCAGCAACGCCGCGUGGACGAUGAAGCACUUUUGUGUGUAAAGUCCUGUUGAGAGGGAAGAAACGUCGGACAUCCGUCCGGCCUGACGGUACCUCUAAAGAAAGCUCCGGCCAACUCCGUGCCAGCAGCCGCGGUAAUACGGGGGGAGCAAGCGUUGUCCGGAUUUAUUGGGCGUAAAGGGCGCGUAGGUGGAUCUGUAAGUGAGUGGUGAAAUCCCGAGGCUUAACUUCGGAAUGGCCUUUCAUACUGCAGGUCUUGAGUGCGAGAGGGGAAGAUGGAAUUCCUGGUGUAGCGGUGGAAUGCGUAGAUAUCAGGAAGAACACCGGUGGCGAAGGCGGUCUUCUGGCUCGUAACUGACACUGAGGCGCGAAAGCGUGGGGAGCAAACAGGAUUAGAAACCCUGGUAGUCCG
This 460-nucleotide ribosomal RNA is filed under the name uncultured bacterium. RNAcentral's name for it is "bacterial SSU rRNA". It matches the Rfam family "Bacterial small subunit ribosomal RNA", at positions 339 to 797 of the family's 1533-position model. The record is from RNAcentral.